GACGAACGCUGGCGGCGUGCUUAACACAUGCAAGUCGAACGGAAAGGCCCCUUUGGGGGUACUCGAGUGGCGAACGGGUGAGUAACACGUGAGUAACCUGCCCUUGACUUCGGGAUAACUUCAGGAAACUGGGGCUAAUACCGGAUAGGAAUCCUUGCUGCAUGGUGGGGGUUGGAAAGCUUCGGCGGUUUUGGAUGGACUGGCGGCUUAUCAGCUUGUUGGUGGGGUAGUGGCUUACCAAGGCUUUGACGGGUAGCCGGCCUGAGAGGGCGACCGGCCACAUUGGGACUGAGAGACGGCCCAGACUCCUACGGGAGGCAGCAGUGGGGAAUAUUGCACAAGGGGCGGAAGCCUGAUGCAGCAACGCCGCGUGCGGGAUGACGGCCUUCGGGUUGGAAACCGCUUUCAGCAGGGGCGAAGCUUGUGGUGACGGUACCUGCAGAAGAAGCACCGGCUAACUACGUG
RNAcentral lists this ribosomal RNA (465 nucleotides) under uncultured bacterium. RNAcentral's name for it is "partial 16S ribosomal RNA". It matches the Rfam family "Bacterial small subunit ribosomal RNA", at positions 28 to 507 of the family's 1533-position model. The record is from RNAcentral.